RNAcentral lists this ribosomal RNA (504 nucleotides) under uncultured bacterium. RNAcentral describes it as "partial 16S ribosomal RNA". It matches the Rfam family "Bacterial small subunit ribosomal RNA", at positions 30 to 523 of the family's 1533-position model. The record is from RNAcentral.
AUUGAACGCUGGCGGCAGGCCUAACACAUGCAAGUCGAACGGUAGCACAGAGAGCUUGCUCUUGGGUGACGAGUGGCGGACGGGUGAGUAAUGUCUGGGAAACUGCCCGAUGGAGGGGGAUAACUACUGGAAACGGUAGCUAAUACCGCAUAACGUCUUCGGACCAAAGUGGGGGACCUUCGGGCCUCACACCAUCGGAUGUGCCCAGAUGGGAUUAGCUAGUAGGUGGGGUAAUGGCUCACCUAGGCGACGAUCCCUAGCUGGUCUGAGAGGAUGACCAGCCACACUGGACCUGAGACACGGUCCAGACUCCUACGGGAGGCAGCAGUGGGGAAUAUUGCACAAUGGGCGCAAGCCUGAUGCAGCCAUGCCGCGUGUAUGAAGAAGGCCUUCGGGUUGUAAAGUACUUUCAGCGGGGAGGAAGGCGGUGGAGUUAAUAGCUUCAUCGAUUGACGUUACCCGCAGAAGAAGCUCCGGCUAACUCCGUGCCAGCCGCCGCGGUAA